Molecule: long non-coding RNA, 484 nt
Organism: Populus euphratica (Euphrates poplar)
Lineage: Eukaryota; Viridiplantae; Streptophyta; Magnoliopsida; Malpighiales; Salicaceae
Exons: 3
Source: RefSeq, a predicted model, not a curated record
UAUUCCAAGACAAGGAUUCCACAAUCACUUAAACAAAAUCAAGGAACUAUUAGUAUUAGUACAUUAUUGAAUAGAAAUAUGGAAUGUCAAUCUUUAAUAAUUUUUUCAUCAUCUAAUUAUUUUCGAAUGGAUCCAUCCAACGGUGUAAAAUCUUAUAAUGUAAUAAAAGAAUCAACUAAAAGAGAUUCUAUAAUUCUAAUUAGGAAUUUGUUGGGCCCUUUAGGAAUAGCCCUUCAAAUUGGGAAUUUUUAUUCAUUUUACCAUUUACUAACUCAUAAUCAGAUCUCGGUAAUUAAAUAUUUGAAACUUAACAAUUUAAAAUUAAAAUAGACUUUAAAAGUACUAAAAUAUUAUUUAAUGAAUAAGAACGGUAGAAUUGUUAAUCACGAUCUGUAUAGUAACAAUGUUUUGAAUCCAUUCAAAUUGAAUUGGUAUUUUCUCCAUCAUAAUUAUCAUCAUAAUUAUUUUCAAGAAACAUUCAAAA